UACGGAGGAUGCAAGCGUUAUCCGGAUUCAUUGGGUUUAAAGGGUGCGUAGGCGGGCUAUUAAGUCAGUGGUGAAAUCCUGCAGCUUAACUGCAGAACUGCCGUUGAUACUGAUAGUCUUGAGUUUGGUUAAGGUAGGCGGAAUGUGUAAUGUAGCGGUGAAAUGCUUAGAUAUUACACAGAACACCAAUUGUGUAGGCAGCUUACUGAGCCGACACUGACGCUGAGGCACGAAAGCGUGGGGAUCAAACAGGA
This 254-nucleotide ribosomal RNA is filed under the name uncultured prokaryote. RNAcentral describes it as "partial 16S ribosomal RNA". It matches the Rfam family "Bacterial small subunit ribosomal RNA", at positions 524 to 777 of the family's 1533-position model. The record is from RNAcentral.